UUAAAUUCACAGGGGAAUCUCUUAAUCAAUCUCCACCUAUUUACAUAAAAUACAUUUUAUUAAAUACAAUACUUCUAUUUACUUUUUAUAAAUAUUUUUCCAUUUUAUCAUUACACCUUAAAUAAACACCACAAAAACCCCCAACAAUUCCCCCCCUAGUCUCCUCAAUGGCCUCUCCCAAAGCUAUAUAUGGCGUCUGGACCCCCGGGGUAGAAUUUGUCCAAACACCCUGGAGAGGACACAGAAAAGACAGGCACCAGCAACCAACCUCACUCAUCAAUGAGGAGCAGCUGUGCAGAGCCCAAAACAAAGGCCACAUACCAAUCGCCAAAAUGCUCAAUAAAUAUAAUUAAAACUU
This is a long non-coding RNA of Fundulus heteroclitus (mummichog), 358 nucleotides long. RefSeq lists it as uncharacterized. The record is from RefSeq and is a predicted model, not a curated record. NCBI's taxonomy places the organism in Eukaryota, Metazoa, Chordata, Actinopteri, Cyprinodontiformes, Fundulidae. The transcript is spliced from 2 exons.